GGGGGGGGCGCAGGCACUUGUGCCGGCGCAGCCUCUCGCAUCAAGUGAGGACUAAUCCCAUCCCUGGGCCUGCUCUCUGUUCCCUUCCUGCAUUAGAGAUUGGCUAUAAGGAGAAGGCUGACGGCUGCAGCAUGAAGCGCAUUAUUACCUUGUGAUUCCAUGACCCUCCUCUAUGCAUCCCUAACUCUCGAAAGCUGAUUCAGCUUUCAGCUAGUGCUCUGGUGAGUCCUCUGCUGCAACAGAAGCUCCUAACUGCCGUAGCCUCUAAGAAGCUUAAAUAAAUCCUGACUGCCUGAAAGUGAAGCCAUUUGAACCAGUGCAGCAUCAGGCAGCAAGUUCAGAAGAGGUCCAGGCAGCUGGGAAAGAAAAGACCCUGAAGAAUUCCCCUCUGCUGCCGCAGCCCAUGAGGCCAAAUGCUUUGCUAAAGCUGGUAAAAUGGAACCAAAUCAACUGUUCAAUGGAUUUGGUCCCCUUCAACCAGCUGUAGCUGUGCAUUGAUCUCUCAGAUGCACCUUGGAGGCUGAAACACUUGAACCCGACCAGGGCGACUCAGGUAGAAGACGUGAACGCUGCUGAUAAGGACAUGAUGAUGACUGGCAUCUGCAGAUCUAUCACUCGGGCUCUAAACUGGUGGGCUGAGCCUGAGUCAUUAUGUGGUUGCCAGUCAAUUCUGCCUAACGGAGACCACUCAAGAUUGAUAAUCUCUACCAUCCUCCUAUUAUUGAUCUCAGCUGUAACACAGGACUGUGUAUUUCCACUGCAAAUGCUGUGCGUUUUCAUAUGUAUUUGCUCACACCCACCCAGGAGCCCUGUGCCUCAGUGUUUCAUCUGCUGCAAUGAAGAAUAAAGGUUUUGAUCUGAA
Long non-coding RNA from Corapipo altera (White-ruffed manakin), 862 nucleotides. RefSeq lists it as uncharacterized. NCBI's taxonomy places the organism in Eukaryota, Metazoa, Chordata, Aves, Passeriformes, Pipridae. The transcript has 3 exons. The record is from RefSeq and is a predicted model, not a curated record.